This 147-nucleotide unclassified non-coding RNA is filed under the name soil metagenome. RNAcentral describes it as "partial internal transcribed spacer 1". The record is from RNAcentral.
UAAUAAGUGUUUUAUGGCACUUUAUAAAUCCAUAUCCACCUUGUGUGCAAUGUCGGUCGAUCUUCUUUUUUUGAGGAUCGACCAAACAUCAACCUUUAUUUUUUAACUCUUUGUCUGAAAAAUAUUAUGAAUAAACAAUUCAAAAUG